Molecule: long non-coding RNA, 1209 nt
Filed under: Equus caballus (horse)
Lineage: Eukaryota; Metazoa; Chordata; Mammalia; Perissodactyla; Equidae
Description: lncRNA (ENSECAG00000052057.1)
Source: RNAcentral
GUUGAUUGGCUUGGGGGAUGGCUGGUCAGAGGGAAGCAAGACUGGUGUUGCCGUGGGCCAGGCGCUGUGCAGGAUCUCAGAGGGUCCAAAGAUCCCAUCAGGGAUAGCGUUCAACAUCUCCUUGGAGGAGCUUCUCAUCGUUAAUGAGCACUCUGGAUCAUCUCUUUCCCAUCUUAUUAUGUGAAAAUAUAGCAUUCACGUUGGCUACCCAUUUUAAACAUUUUAAAAACCGAGGUAGAAAGACUGCCAAGGUUAGGAAGAGAGCUGUAUUGAGAUUCUAGGUCAUGAGAAAGUUGGCAGUGGCUGGAUCUUUAUUCCUGCUUUAAAUACCUUCAUAAAGACAGUGCUGGGCAGAGGCACAGAUCCUAGAAGAAUGUGGGACAGGAGGAAGACAGUCUGAUGAACGCACUUCCCUCCAUCGCCAGGCUCUGGAUUGUGGCUUUUACUGAAUGCCCAUCUCAAGCCAAGUGCUGUGCCAGGCCCUGGUGACUGAAUCUUCUACUACCGAGGAAGGGAGAUAUGUAAACAGAUGAUUUAUGAUAUAAUGAGGUAAGUAAUAGAAACAGGUACAAAAUGUUAAGGAAACACAAAGCAAGAAGCAACCAACUCUGACAGAUAUAUCUGGAACGUUUUCACAGAGAAAAUGACAUUUGAGCUGGGUGAGCAGGGACAAUUUAUUUAACCUCUCAUGGCUUUGAUUCCUCAUCUUUGAAGUGGAAAUGAUAAUAGUACUCUUACCAAAUAGUUGUGAGGAUCAAAUGAGCUUUUACAUGAUGCAAAGUGCUUGGAACAGUGCCUGAAAGUAGAAAUUGUUCAAGAAAUAUCAGGGAUAUCAAGCCAUCAGGAAGGGAGGGAGCAGAUAGGAGGAAGGAAAUUUUCCAGGAAGGGAGUGAGAACCUUCUUAUCAGAAGGAACAGCAUGGGCAAAAUGCAGCGUCGUGGAAGAGCAUGGCUUGUUAGGAGAGCAGACAGCAGUUCAGAACAUCCAGAGCACGCGCGGCUUGGGGAGACAGGAGUUUGGGGCCAAAGGGCAGGAAUGUUCCCUGCAGGGCUACCUCACCCACCCACACCAGCAUGGGUUUUUCUGUUGGUUGGUGGAUGCUCAUGCCACAUCACUUGUUGAAACCUUGAGGCUCACCCAUACCUCCUUUAUAUUAAUUACAAUGGGUGGGUGGGGGGUAGGUGAGAGGUGAUUUGAAACAGAGAAUAG